Molecule: ribosomal RNA, 448 nt
Filed under: uncultured bacterium
Lineage: Bacteria
Description: partial 16S ribosomal RNA
Rfam family: Bacterial small subunit ribosomal RNA
Source: RNAcentral
AACGAACGCUGGCGGCAGGCCUAACACAUGCAAGUCGAACGCCCUAGCAAUAGGGAGUGGCGCACGGGUGAGUAACGCGUGGGAACGUGCCUUUCAGUCUGGAAUAACAGCGGGAAACUGCUGCUAAUACCGGAUAUCCUCUACGGAGGAAAGAUUUAUCGCUGAAAGAUCGGCCCGCGUAAGAUUAGGUAGUUGGUAGGGUAAUGGCCUACCAAGCCUACGAUCUUAGCUGGUCUGAGAGGAUGAUCAGCCACACUGGAACUGAGACACGGUCCAGACUCCUACGGGAGGCAGCAGUGGGGAAGAUUGGACAAUGGGCGCAAGCCUGAUCCAGCCAUGCCGCGUGAGUGACGAAGGCCUUAGGGUUGUAAAGCUCUUUUAUCAGGGACGAUGAUGACGGUACCUGAAGAAUAAGACACGGCUAACUUCGUGCCAGCCGCCGCCGUAA